Molecule: ribosomal RNA, 485 nt
Filed under: uncultured bacterium
Lineage: Bacteria
Description: partial 16S ribosomal RNA
Rfam family: Bacterial small subunit ribosomal RNA
Source: RNAcentral
GAUGAACGCUAGCUACAGGCUUAACACAUGCAAGUCGAGGGGCAGCAUGACCUAGCAAUAGGUUGAUGGCGACCGGCGCACGGGUGAGUAACACGUAUCCAACCUGCCGAUUAUUCCGGGAUAGCCUUUCGAAAGAAAGAUUAAUACUGGAUAGCAUAACGAGAAGGCAUCUUCUUGUUAUUAAAGAAUUUCGAUAAUCGAUGGGGAUGCGUUCCAUUAGUUUGUUGGCGGGGUAACGGCCCACCAAGACAUCGAUGGAUAGGGGUUCUGAGAGGAAGGGCCCCCCCCUUGGAACCGGGGCCCCGUCCAAACUCCUUCGGGAGGCAGCCGUUAGGAAUAUUUGGCAAUGGACGAGAGUCUGAACCAGCCAAGUAGCGUGAAGGAUGACUGCCCUAUGGGUUGUAAACUUCUUUUAUAUGGGAAUAAAGUGGGCCACGUGUGGCUUUUUGUAUGUACCAUACGAAUAAGGAUCGGCUAACUCCGUG